AGCACCUUUAAAUCAGUCCCGUGAGGCUGGCAAGGUAACGUGAAUGGAUCACUGAUCAGUGCAUCCGCUGCGGCGGUAUGUCUUCAGUGUGUCCGACAGAUCGGAGAACAGUGGGAGACUGUUCAUACGAGACUCCUUGCCAAACUUGGGCAAGGAGUCUUUUUUGU
This is a regulatory RNA element of Paenibacillus polymyxa SC2, 167 nucleotides long. It matches the Rfam family "PyrR binding site". From Rfam's summary of the family: This family represents the PyrR binding site and terminator structure. This RNA structure is found upstream of a variety of genes involved in pyrimidine biosynthesis and transport. The record is from Rfam. NCBI's taxonomy places the organism in Bacteria, Bacillati, Bacillota, Bacilli, Caryophanales, Paenibacillaceae.